ACAAAGACGAACCCUGAAUUUCCGUGUCUAACUUUAACUAUCCGUCUUAUAUGAAUUUUUUUAUAAUUUGUAUUUUUAUUGUUGUUAGAUGAUAAAACAUGAUUAAUAUUUUAUGCGUGACUUAUCUUUUUAAUUUUUUUCAUAAUUUUUUCAAAUAAAACGGACGGUCAAACUUUGGGCACGAAAACCAGGGUUUGUCUUUUU
Molecule: non-coding RNA, 204 nt
Organism: Oryza glumipatula
Lineage: Eukaryota; Viridiplantae; Streptophyta; Magnoliopsida; Poales; Poaceae
Source: Rfam